Molecule: long non-coding RNA, 762 nt
Filed under: Triticum aestivum (bread wheat)
Lineage: Eukaryota; Viridiplantae; Streptophyta; Magnoliopsida; Poales; Poaceae
Description: long non-coding RNA (TAES_LNC002182)
Source: RNAcentral
AGUUUUCCUUUGCCUGAAUCAUAAUCAAUUAACGGAUAAGAUCUUACACAGUUUGUUUCUUGUUCUGUAUCCUAUUCCAAGUUGGUCUGUACUGCUUUUGUUGGAGAAGACAUGAAGAUGCAGUACUACUAUGGAAAUGUCUAACUUUUUGCCAAUAAGAUUGUAGUUCUCAUAUGAUUCUCUUGCUGCUAUUGAGUGAUCCUUCAUAUUGUGGCUGUAUGUGUUCUCUGGUUUAUAAAGGUCAUAGUGAUUAUUUUUGUGGAGUCCCCCUUGUUAGUUUAUUUUUUCAGGUUACAUCCUCAACUAAGAUUUGGUAAGUAGCCAUAUCCUAUCUUCUCGGCAAAUACUCGACCGAUUCUUUUUGCCAUUCACCUGAGAAAGGCGCAUUAAUACUAACCUCUUGCUAUGAUCUUGAAUUUUUGCAGUGCAAGUGGCGGACAUUUAGCUAGUGGUACAUGCCUUGCCGAGCUCCCCGACGGAUAGUGCCUGACUUGCAAGCACGUCGGAGGCUUUGUCCACGGUCUUGCAGUGGACGAUAUUAUUUGGUCGGCAAUGAUAAAGUUUUCCCACAAUGGCUGCCAGAGCGAGUCAUCUAGCACGAGCUUGACGAUCACCACCGUGCUUCUACACUUCUGUAGCAACAUGAUUAGUUUUACGUGUGGAUUCUACCUGUAGCAAGUUUUUCUAUUAUGAUGUUGUUUUGCUUGUAAAGAUUGGAUUUUUGGAUGUCUUGCACCGUCGUAAAUCAAUAUGCAAACCCUG